Molecule: non-coding RNA, 156 nt
Organism: Pelobates cultripes (western spadefoot toad)
Lineage: Eukaryota; Metazoa; Chordata; Amphibia; Anura; Pelobatidae
Source: the annotation of a GenBank genome assembly
GCAGAUUUGGAGCUACCUGCGCUCUUCCCAAAUCCCUAUGCAUUAUUAAACAAAUGAAGGUUAUUUAGUUUCUCCAAUGGCCAUGAGAGACUAAAUAACCUCCAUUUGUUUAAAUAUGCAUAGGGAUUUGGGAAGAGCGCGGGUAACUUUUUUCUU